AACGAACGCUGGCGGCAUGCCUAACACAUGCAAGUCGAACGAGACCUUCGGGUCUAGUGGCGCACGGGUGCGUAACGCGUGGGAAUCUGCCCUUGGGUUCGGAAUAACAGUGAGAAAUUACUGCUAAUACCGGAUGGUGUCUUCGGACCAAAGAUUUAUCGCCCAGGGAUGAGCCCGCGUAGGAUUAGCUAGUUGGUGGGGUAAUGGCCUACCAAGGCGACGAUCCUUAGCUGGUCUGAGAGGAUGAUCAGCCACACUGGGACUGAGACACGGCCCAGACUCCUACGGGAGGCAGCAGUGGGGAAUAUUGGACAAUGGGCGCAAGCCUGAUCCAGCAAUGCCGCGUGAGUGAUGAAGGCCUUAGGGUUGUAAAGCUCUUUUAACCGGGAUGAUAAUGACAGUACCGGGAGAAUAAGCGCCGGCUAACUCCGUG
This 433-nucleotide ribosomal RNA is filed under the name uncultured bacterium. RNAcentral's name for it is "partial 16S ribosomal RNA". It matches the Rfam family "Bacterial small subunit ribosomal RNA", at positions 29 to 507 of the family's 1533-position model. The record is from RNAcentral.